GAUGAACGCUGGCGGCGUGCCUAAUACAUGCAAGUCGAGCGAACAGACGAGAAGCUUGCUUCUCUGAUGUUAGCGGCGGACGGGUGAGUAACACGUGGAUAACCUACCUAUAAGACUGGGAUAACUUCGGGAAACCGGAGCUAAUACCGGAUAAUAUUUUGAACCGCAUGGUUCAAAAGUGAAAGACGGUCUUGCUGUCACUUAUAGAUGGAUCCGCGCUGCAUUAGCUAGUUGGUAAGGUAACGGCUUACCAAGGCAACGAUGCGUAGCCGACCUGAGAGGGUGAUCGGCCACACUGGAACUGAGACACGGUCCAGACUCCUACGGGAGGCAGCAGUAGGGAAUCUUCCGCAAUGGGCGAAAGCCUGACGGAGCAACGCCGCGUGAGUGAUGAAGGUCUUCGGAUCGUAAAACUCUGUUAUUAGGGAAGAACAUAUGUGUAAGUAACUGUGCACAUCUUGACGGUACCUAAUCAGAAAGCCACGGCUAACUACGUG
This 497-nucleotide ribosomal RNA is filed under the name uncultured bacterium. RNAcentral describes it as "partial 16S ribosomal RNA". It matches the Rfam family "Bacterial small subunit ribosomal RNA", at positions 28 to 507 of the family's 1533-position model. The record is from RNAcentral.